Non-coding RNA from Xanthomonas fragariae, 76 nucleotides. The record is from Rfam. NCBI's taxonomy places the organism in Bacteria, Pseudomonadati, Pseudomonadota, Gammaproteobacteria, Lysobacterales, Lysobacteraceae.
AUUUAUCGAGCUUACACUGUGGUUCCUCCGCACCGUCCGCACCCAACUGGUGACUGCUCGCUACUUUUUGUUAGCC